CAAGCAGUUUACAUUUGAACUUCAUAGCAAUUAGAGAUAUAGGUGAAUAAGCACACAUGUUUCUGGUGUUUCAGGAAUCAGUGACAUUCAAGGAUGUGGCUGUGGAAUUCACUCGGGAGGAGUGGGUACAACUGAACCCAUUUCAGAAAAAGUUGUACAAGGAUGUGAUGCUGGAGAACUAUAGGAACUUGGUCUUUUUGGAUUUGCAGUUUCCAGACCAGAUGUCAUCUUCCAGUUGGAAAGAAAGAAAGCAUCUUGGAUGCCAGAGCCAGAUAUUCCAAGAAGCAGCUGUCCAGGACUCACAUCCUAGUAUCAACAUCCUUACAUACUUUCAAAGGCUGGAGGAAGUGUUUUACCAAGAUGGAGUUGAGAGGCAGAAUUUUCUCUGAAAAGAGAAUCUGCAAACACCAGGAAACAUGCAGAACUCUUUCAAAUUUAUUUCUAACUUUUCUUUCAAAUAUAAACUGUAAUGAAGAUACUGACCUAGUGAAAUAUAUAAGUCCAUUGAUCUUAGGACAAAAACUUAGCACAAUUGGAAUUUAACUCAAAAAGCACUGAAGAAAUCUGGUAUUCCUUGAGAGAAGCCUAUCCCCACCUUAUAAGAAAAGCUAUGGAACCUUUCAUUUGCAACACAAGAUCUUUGUGAAUCUAGACCUUCAACACUUGCAGCCAUCAAAACAGGAAAUUCAAAUUGAAUAUCCAGCAUGACAUGCCUAUUUCCUUGCAAAAGAUCAACAGUUUCAGAUUCUCAUUUAAGUGAAGCAACAGUAGCCAUCAACACUAAUGUUUAACAAUUACAAUUUAACUUGCUU
This 812-nucleotide long non-coding RNA is filed under the name Vombatus ursinus (common wombat). RNAcentral describes it as "lncRNA (ENSVURG00010007920.1)". Lineage: Eukaryota; Metazoa; Chordata; Mammalia; Diprotodontia; Vombatidae. The record is from RNAcentral.